Molecule: ribosomal RNA, 482 nt
Filed under: uncultured bacterium
Lineage: Bacteria
Description: partial 16S ribosomal RNA
Rfam family: Bacterial small subunit ribosomal RNA
Source: RNAcentral
GACGAACGCUGGCGGCGUGCUUAACACAUGCAAGUCGAACGCUGAAGCUCAGCUUGCUGGGUGGAUGAGUGGCGAACGGGUGAGUAACACGUGAGUAACCUGCCCUCUUCUUUGGGAUAACGCCCGGAAACGGGUGCUAAUACUGGAUAUUCACUGAUUCUCGCAUGGGGGUUGGUGGAAAGGUUUUUUCUGGUGGGGGAUGGGCUCGCGGCCUAUCAGCUUGUUGGUGGGGUGAUGGCCUACCAAGGCUUUGACGGGUAGCCGGCCUGAGAGGGUGACCGGUCACAUUGGGACUGAGAGACGGCCCAGACGCCUACGGGAGGCAGCAGUGGGGAAUAGUGCACAAUGGGCGAAAGCCUGAUGCAGCGACGCCGCGUGAGGGAUGGAGGCCUUCGGGUUGUAAACCUCUUUCGCUCAUGGUCAAGCCGCAGCGUUGGGUUGUGGUGAGGGUAGUGGGUAAAGAAGCGCCGGCUAACUACGUG